UGACACGACCCUUGAGUGACAGUUGUAUUUGAUUGCCUCCAGAACUGUGAGGAAAGGACUCGACUCUAUGGUGAGGACUGAUGGAUGUAAAUUAUCUGAGAAAAGAAACUACCAGGUGACAAACAGCAUGUUUGGUGCUUCAAGAAAGAAGUUUGUAGAGGGGGUCGACACUGACUACCAUGACGAAAACAUGUACUACAGCCAGUCUUCUGUGUUUCCACAUCGGUCAGAAAAAGAUAUGUAAGUGAAAAUGUGACAGGAUUGGACCUUUCAGAUUUUCCAGCAUUGGCAGGCCGAAACAGAGGGGAAGGAAGUGGUAACCCAACUCCAUUAAUAAACCCCUUGACUGGAAGAGCUCUUUAUGUGGGAAUGGUAACAAAACCAGCAAAUGAGCAAUCCCAGGUCUUCUCAAUACCCAGCGAAGAUUUUCCAGCAUUACCUGGUUCCAGCUAUAAAGAUCCAACAUCAAGUAAUGAUGACAGUAAAUCUAAUUUGAAUACAUGUGGCAAGACAACUUCAAGUACAGAUGGACCCAAAUUCCCUGGAGAUAAAAGUUCAACAACACAAAAUAAUAACCAGCAGAAAAAAGGGAUCCAGGUGUUACCUGAUGGUCGGGUUACUAACAUUCCUCAAGGGAUUGUGACGGACCAAUUUGGAAUGAUUGACCUGUUAACAUUUAUUGGGGCAGCAGAGACAGACCCAGGAAUGGUACAUCUUGCAUUAGGAAGUGACUUAACAACAUUAGGCCUCAAUCUGAACUCUCCUGAAAAUCUCUACCCCAAAUUUACAUCACCCUGGGCAUCUUCACCUUGUCGACCUCAAAACAUAGACUUCCAUGUUCCAUCUGAGUACUUAACAAACAUUCACAUUAGGGAUAAGCUGACUGCAAUAAAACUUGGUUGAUAUGGAGAAGAUCUUCUCUUCUAUCUGUAUUACAUGAAUGGAGAAGAUGCACUACAACUUUUAGCUGCAGUAAAGCUUUUUAACCGUUAUUGGAGAUACCACAAAGAAGAACGAGUAUGGAUUACCAGGGCACUGGGCAUGGAGCCAACAAUGAAAACCAAUACAUAUGAGAGGGGAACAUAUUACUUCUUUGACUGUCUUAACGGGAGGAAAGUAGCUAAGGAGUUCCAUCUGGAAUAUGACAAAUUAGAAGAAAGGCCUCACCUGUCAUCUACUUUCAACUACAACCCUGCUCAGCAAGCCUUCUAAAAA
RNA transcript from Carlito syrichta (Philippine tarsier), 1215 nucleotides. It is a transcript of the gene named CCR4-NOT transcription complex subunit 2 pseudogene, with no coding region annotated. The record is from RefSeq and is a predicted model, not a curated record. Lineage: Eukaryota; Metazoa; Chordata; Mammalia; Primates; Tarsiidae. The transcript has a single exon.